UACGGAGGAUGCAAGCGUUAUCCGGAUUCAUUGGGUUUAAAGGGUGCGUAGGCGGUCUUUCAAGCCAGAAGUGAAAGGCUACGGCUCAACCGUAGUAAGCUUUUGGAACUGUAAGACUUGAGUGCAGGAGAGGAGAGUGGAAUUCCUAGUGUAGCGGUGAAAUGCGUAGAUAUUAGGAGGAACACCAGUAGCGAAGGCGGCUCUCUGGACUGUAACUGACGCUGAGGCACGAAAGCGUGGGGAGCAAACAGGAUUAGAUACCCCUGUAGU
Molecule: ribosomal RNA, 270 nt
Filed under: uncultured prokaryote
Description: partial 16S ribosomal RNA
Rfam family: Bacterial small subunit ribosomal RNA
Source: RNAcentral